AUACUUAUCUGGCAGGGGAGACACCAUGAUCACUGAUCACAGGGUGAGGCUUAGCCGUUGCACUCAGAUUGUGCUGACCCCUCUGAAUUCCCCAAAUGUGGGAAUUUCGACUGCAUAAUUUCUGGUAGUGGGGGUCUGCGUUCGUGCUCUCCCCUG
Small nuclear RNA from Phyllopteryx taeniolatus (common seadragon), 156 nucleotides. RefSeq annotates it as U1 spliceosomal RNA. The transcript has a single exon. Lineage: Eukaryota; Metazoa; Chordata; Actinopteri; Syngnathiformes; Syngnathidae. The record is from RefSeq and is a predicted model, not a curated record.